UGCCUAGCACCUAAGUACUU
Molecule: non-coding RNA, 20 nt
Filed under: Mus musculus (house mouse)
Lineage: Eukaryota; Metazoa; Chordata; Mammalia; Rodentia; Muridae
Source: RNAcentral